UCUCUCCCCACCGCUCCCCAUUCCAUGGUGGCCCUGCCUGCUCUCCCCACUGCCUCAUCUACCCACCACGGCCUCGCCCCGUCGGCCGCCGCCUCCUCUCCCCACCAUGGCCUCGGCCCGCCGCCUUCUCUCUCCACCACGACCUCACCUUGCCGCUAACCCCGCCGUUCUUCCCUAGAUCGACUCUGUCGCCGCCGUCCACAUGUUCCAGCGCAGAUCAAGAUGCGAGCUAGAGGAGCAUCCUGGAAACGAUGCGGCAGCGGGCAUCUCGGAGCGGGCCGAGUUCCAGUUCGUCUACGUGCCCACCGUGAUAGUCGACCUCGUGCUUCGCUCCCACACCUGCUCCGAGAAGGUGCUCCCAGCUUGCCUACGUGGUCGGUUGCUCCAGGAUGUAGCUUGGGAAGGUCAGACUGUUGGAGUUGUAGCAGUUGUAGAUUUCUUCAAGGCAAAAAUAAAGCAUUUGCACUUGGUGAUAUGAAAAAGGUGAUGCAAGGAACUGACGACCUGUUUGCAGCGAGAAGGUGAGGCAGGAGCAACCGCACAUCUAAUGGCCAGUGGAGGGCGGCGAGGGAAGGCGGCGGUGUUUUCGUGCGGCGAGGUCGCCGUCCAGGAAGGCGAAGGCGAUGAUGUUUCUGAGCGGCAAGGGGAUAUCGGUGGGAUAUGUUUCUUGUUUUUGGAUUUGGAUUUGGAAGGUCUAUUAUUAUUUGUGGGUAUGGGGGAUACGUGAUUGUAGGGAUUGUGUUUCCUUUCGCAUGGAAGUUUUCCUCCACGGUGGAGUACGGUCAGUCAAUGUAAAUUAGUAAGUGCACACCAGAAAACAUAUCAGGUGAAGGCUAGCCGUUGGAUAUAUAUUAGUGGGGAUAAUCAUGCGGUAGUAGUGGGUUCGUGUAUGUUUUGUGGGGUGCGUUUAGCAAAGAUAAUGUUUGCUCUUUUA
This is an RNA transcript of Triticum dicoccoides, 934 nucleotides long. RefSeq lists it as uncharacterized. Lineage: Eukaryota; Viridiplantae; Streptophyta; Magnoliopsida; Poales; Poaceae. The transcript is spliced from 3 exons. The record is from RefSeq and is a predicted model, not a curated record.